Molecule: ribosomal RNA, 496 nt
Filed under: uncultured bacterium
Lineage: Bacteria
Description: partial 16S ribosomal RNA
Rfam family: Bacterial small subunit ribosomal RNA
Source: RNAcentral
GAUGAACGCUGGCGGCGUGCCUAAUACAUGCAAGUCGAGCGAACAGAUGAGGAGCUUGCUCCUCUGACGUUAGCGGCGACGGGUGAGUAACACGUGGAUAACCUACCUAUAAGACUGGGAUAACUUCGGGAAACCGGAGCUAAUACCGGAUAAUAUAUUGAACCGCCUGGUUCAAUAGUGAAAGACGGUUUUGCUGUCACUUAUAGAUGGAUCCGCGCCGCAUUAGCUAGUUGGUAAGGUAACGGCUUACCAAGGCAACGAUGCGUAGCCGACCUGAGAGGGUGAUCGGCCACACUGGAACUGAGACACGGUCCAGACUCCUACGGGAGGCAGCAGUAGGGAAUCUUCCGCAAUGGGCGAAAGCCUGACGGAGCAACGCCGCGUGAGUGAUGAAGGUCUUCGGAUCGUAAAACUCUGUUAUUAGGGAAGAACAAAUGUGUAAGUAACUAUGCACGUCUUGACGGUACCUAAUCAGAAAGCCACGGCUAACUACGUG